Molecule: transfer RNA, 72 nt
Filed under: Dipodomys ordii (Ord's kangaroo rat)
Lineage: Eukaryota; Metazoa; Chordata; Mammalia; Rodentia; Heteromyidae
Rfam family: tRNA
About the family: Transfer RNA (tRNA) molecules are approximately 80 nucleotides in length. Their secondary structure includes four short double-helical elements and three loops (D, anti-codon, and T loops). Further hydrogen bonds mediate the characteristic L-shaped molecular structure. tRNAs have two regions of fundamental functional importance: the anti-codon, which is responsible for specific mRNA codon recognition, and the 3' end, to which the tRNAs corresponding amino acid is attached (by aminoacyl-tRNA synthetases). tRNAs cope with the degeneracy of the genetic code in two manners: having more than one tRNA (with a specific anti-codon) for a particular amino acid; and 'wobble' base-pairing, i.e. permitting non-standard base-pairing at the 3rd anti-codon position.
Source: Rfam by way of RNAcentral
GGGAAGGUGGCUCAGUGGUAGAGCGCUUGUCUUGCAUGCAUGAGGCCCUGGGUUCAAUUCCCUACCACCACA